GACGAACGCUGGCGGCGUGCUUAACACAUGCAAGUCGAACGGUGAAGCGCCUUCCUUUUUGGUGGGUGUGGAUGAGUGGCGAACGGGUGAGUAACACGUGAGUAACCUGCCCCCUUCUUCUGGAUAACCGCAUGAAAGUGUGGCUAAUACGGGAUAUUCUGGGUCUGUCGCAUGAUGGGUCUGGGAAAGAUAUUGUUUCGGUGGGGGAUGGGCUCGCGGCCUAUCAGCUUGUUGGUGGGGUGAUGGCCUACCAAGGCGGUGACGGGUAGCCGGCCUGAGAGGGUGGGCGGUCACACUGGGACUGAGACACGGCCCAGACUCCUACGGGAGGCAGCAGUGGGGAAUAUUGCACAAUGGGCGCAAGCCUGAUGCAGCGACGCCGCGUGAGGGAUGGAGGCCUUCGGGUUGUGAACCUCUUUCGCCAGUGAAGCAGGCCUGCCUCGUUUGUGGGUGGGUUGACGGUAGCUGGAUAAGAAGCGCCGGCUAACUACGU
RNAcentral lists this ribosomal RNA (493 nucleotides) under uncultured bacterium. Its description in RNAcentral is "partial 16S ribosomal RNA". It matches the Rfam family "Bacterial small subunit ribosomal RNA", at positions 28 to 506 of the family's 1533-position model. The record is from RNAcentral.